This is a non-coding RNA of Mycena rebaudengoi, 91 nucleotides long. The record is from the annotation of a GenBank genome assembly. Lineage: Eukaryota; Fungi; Basidiomycota; Agaricomycetes; Agaricales; Mycenaceae.
GGUUCAAUGGUGCGGGUUACACGCCUGCUAGAUAUUUGUAGCUCACACAGCGAGUCUGCAGGAGGCGCCCGUUCAGCCCGGGCUUGGACUA